This is a long non-coding RNA of Parus major (Great Tit), 969 nucleotides long. RefSeq lists it as uncharacterized. The transcript is spliced from 3 exons. The record is from RefSeq and is a predicted model, not a curated record. NCBI's taxonomy places the organism in Eukaryota, Metazoa, Chordata, Aves, Passeriformes, Paridae.
UUCCUGAUCCAUCCCUUUCCCGAUCCAUCCCUUUCCCCAUCCAUCCCUUUCCCAACCCAUCUCUUCUCUCCCAAUCCAUCCCUUCUCUCCCGACCCGUCCCUUUCCUGAUCCAUCCCUUUCCCGAUCCAUCCUCUUGUCAGCGCCUUGGGCAGCGAUCACUGGAGCCAAAUCCCCUCUUCCUGGGAUCUGAGCUUUCCCUGGAGUUUUCCUCCUGUUUUCUUCAGCAGGAGAGGCACCAACAAACCCUGCCAGGAGCUGCUGGCCCCAGGGAAGAGUUGGGAUGCUCCUCUGGAAUUCUGCAGCCAGGACUGAAACUCCAUCCACCAUGGGGUGGUGUAGUGAGACCUCGCUGGGAGGGAGCCCCUCGGCAGGAACACCAUCAGGAAACCUUUGGAAUCCCUAUUUUCCCAAGAUUUCCUCCUUGAAAUCCCUCCUGCAAUGCCUCGUUUGUCUCCUGCACGCCCAGGAAAGGGAGAAGCCGGGUGGAGCCUGGAGAAAUCGGGGCUGGAUCUGGCUGCGGGUCAGGGUGGGGAAUGUGCAGGGAGUUGUGGAAGAGGGGAGGCCAGAGGAAGAGAAAGGAACCAUCCGACCACGUGGUGGCAACGUGGAGAUGCUACAGAAGGAUUGCUGUGCUUCCCUGAAGGAAUUUUCACUUCACAGGAGACACCUGAAGUUAAUUCGUGGCUUUAAAGAGGACGUUAAAAGCAGGAAAUGUAAAUAUUUUCGGCUGUGUCACCUGAGCCUGUGGAUGCCCUCAGUGGCGUGGAGCAAACAAAUGGAAAAAGCAGGAUUGAUGGAUUGGCCCAUUCUGGAGGUGCUGCCGUCCCCAAGUGUCACAGGUGAGCUCUGUGCCUGUAUCCAGCAUCCACAGAGCUGCAUCCCCGUGGUCCUUGGAUGCAGGAGGAGGUGGGAGAAGCCCACAGGUAAAUAAUUUCCCAAGCUUUGGGCUGGAAUCAGCACACAGAAGG